GGCCGGGGCCUCGGGAGAGAGCCUGGGUGAGGGCUGGGCCUGGGGCCAGUGCUGUGUGGCGUAGUCGCGAUCCACGGGUGUCCCGGCCAGUCCUCCUCUUUCCUUGCCCCCUGCCCACCCCCGCCCAGCAGUCCCUGGCCGAGAGCCCCCUGCCUGGUCCCUUUCCGCAUGCAGGAUCCACGUGCUCUCGCAGGGACUUCGUUUGUCCCCGCAGGUGUCUGGGAAGCCAGCUUCUCCUCGCGACAGACAUGGGACAGGCUUCCAGGCAGUGCCCUUUGCCGAAGGGAGAGAGGGGACAGCCUGUCUCUGCAGGCCCCAGACCCACGCAUUCGGGACUCUCGGCGGCUGGGGUGGUGGGAGUGGGGACGCCCUUCCCUGCACAGGUGUCUGUAGGAAGUGACACAGGCCGGGACACAAGUGUGCACAGGUUUCUUGGGCUGGCCAGGGCGUGCACUGUGCAGUUCCCCUCCCACCCUCUGAGCCAAGCCCCGGGCCUACAGCAGGCUCAAGGGCCUACAGCAAGCUCAAGCCUCUGUCGGAAGGAGGAGCAGUUCGAGGACCUCUGGUGUCAGACUGAAAGGUGAGGCUGACGCUACCGUGGUUCAGAGGAUGAGACCUGCAUCGCCUGCCUCUCCAGUUCUGUCUCCUGGAAACUGGAUCUCUGGUUUCAUUUAGUCUGCCUUGGCUCUUCAGAGAGGCCCCUGAACCAAAAGGAAAUGAGUUUCACCUGGAUUCUUCUCUUGGCCUAUCUCCUGCCCCAGCCAAAAAGAAGGAACCAUGAACAAGCUGUUAAUGCAUAUUUUUGGACAGCCAACAGACAUACUACUCUGAGCACAGGGGUUACGUAGAGGUGUGGGUGAGAUAGCUGCACAGGCUGUUGAUUCAGGAUCAUCUUCUCUAGUUGCAGAGGAGGAAAAUGCCUGGUCUUUCCAUUCACAAAUCUUCCCUCUCCACUGCUCCGCCACAGUAGGGCAGACCCUGUUUGAAAACUGUUGGCGGUCAGGUUGGAGGAGGAAGCAUCAGUUCCUGAACGUUACAUAGCAGUGCCUGAAGACAGAAUGAGAGGCUUCAAGGCAAACUGGGGUCAACCACUAUCGACUGGUGGGCAAUCAGGACCACCUCAUAUCCAUGCACAGAGGUGAACCUAGUUUCUCAGUCUUAGGACGUUGGGAAGAUUUUUGGCAAACUAGUGAAAAAUAGCCUUGCUGGCAGAAUAUGCUGUUGAGGUGCCCAGUCCCAUCAGAGAAACCAUGAGUGCAGGCUAGAAACAGAAAGGGGCCUGGCCCCAGCUUCCUGGAAAUACUGGACUGGCCACUCCCUUAGCUGCCCUGGGGCUGAUUGCUGGUCAGCAGUCCCCUGCUGGGGCCUCAGUGUCCUUUCUCAACAAGAAGCUGCAGCUCUUUGGGCUCCUCUCAUGCCCCAGGAUUCUGCCUGUUUCUCCUUUCCCCUCCGCCCCCAGAAUUGGACUGGGUAAUCCCAUGGCCAUCUGCUGUGUGUGCCUCAGUUUCCCAUUUGUGAAGCACCCUUCCAAGGGCUAGGGCUUACAGAGGCUGUGCAGUGAGAGCUGCUUCAUCACUUCUGGCCUCCUGGGACGGGGCCUAAUACACCUUCGGGAAUCACAAUGCUCUCCUUGCUCAUGUUCUGCCCUCUAUCCCUGCUCUUGUGUGACCCUGAGAAGGUCAAAGUCAGUGCCCUAGACCAUCCCUUGGGGCAUGGUGUCAGGAUCAGGAAUAACAUGGCCAGAAGGCUGGCAUGUGGCCUGGACUCUGCCACAUAGGUGAGUGUUCUUUUUGUUGGAAAUGGCCUCAUUAGCAUCCCAGCUCAGGCUGAUUCCAAGCUGACACCCAGGCUGCACCUGGCAUAUAGUAGGCACUCAGUAAACCCUGACUUCAUGAAUGACUCGUACGGAUGAACUCCCAGCUCCUAGGCCAGGCCAUUUCCAAGCAGAACUGCCGGGUUCAGACCCCAUGUUCACAGCCCCCCUCCAAGACUCAUGAUUCUGCUUCCAGCAUGGACACUGACUUGUACCAGCGCUCCAGCAAAAACUCACUCACACUCAGGUUGCCCCAGGUGUGUUCCCCAGUGGGCUGGGGGCCCAUCUGCCUCUGCCUGGGGUCUUUUUAUUUUAAUCUAAAACUGCAGAAGGAAAGUCUUAUCCAAAAGGCUGGGGAGUGGGGGCUGGAGGGCUGGAGGCCUUUCACCCGAUCCUCUCCCUCCUGGCCUCUCCGCUGCCCAGAUUUCCCCUCGGGUCCCUGACACCGCUUUCCAUCCCCUGCGUGUCGCUGUCAGAGCCUUGCAUCUCUCUCUGCAGACCAUCCCCUCUCCACCUGGCACUGCAGUUUUAAUGCACUUCCAAACAUGUAGUCCCCUUUGCUUUAACCCAAACUCCCUGUGACUUCCUGGGUAGGUGAGAAAGCUCCUGAGGGAAGAGGCUGCCCAGCCUGUCCCCUGCCCUCAAGUGAAAGCAGAGCGCGAAGGAAGCAAGCUG
Bos taurus (domestic cattle) is the source of this 2488-nucleotide long non-coding RNA. Lineage: Eukaryota; Metazoa; Chordata; Mammalia; Artiodactyla; Bovidae. The record is from Ensembl.